GGCCGCGGGAAUUCGAUUCAGGCCUAACACAUGCAAGUCGAGCGGGGUUUUCGGACCUAGCGGCGGACGGGUGAGUAAUGCGUAGGAAGCUACCCGAUAGAGGGGGAUACCAGUUGGAAACGACUGUUAAUACCGCAUAAUGUCUACGGACCAAAGUGUGGGACCUUCGGGCCACAUGCUAUCGGAUGCGCCUACGUGGGAUUAGCUAGUUGGUGAGGUAAUGGCUCACCAAGGCGACGAUCCCUAGCUGGUUUGAGAGGAUGAUCAGCCACACUGGAACUGAGACACGGUCCAGACUCCUACGGGAGGCAGCAGUGGGGAAUAUUGGACAAUGGGCGCAAGCCUGAUCCAGCAAGGCCGCGUGUGUGAAGAAGGCCUUCGGGUGUAAAUUAAAGGGAGUUGGGAGGAAGGGUUG
This 415-nucleotide ribosomal RNA is filed under the name uncultured bacterium. RNAcentral's name for it is "bacterial SSU rRNA". It matches the Rfam family "Bacterial small subunit ribosomal RNA", at positions 39 to 455 of the family's 1533-position model. The record is from RNAcentral.